GAGGAGUGGAGGCCGGUGGAGGGGGGCUGUCUUUGUGUGUAUGAAUGAGGCCUUGUGGGCAGGGCCCCUGCCCUGCUGCUUCUGGGAAGGCCCCACGUCUGUCAGCUGCCAGAAGUGGCUACCCCACCACCGCCAAGCAGCUGAGGGGUCCUCAUAAUGGCUUUGCUGUGGUUUCCUAAGACAUCUGGCUGCACGGCGCCGCAGGCCGCAGAGGGGGCCUGAUGACACUGGGAGGCCAUGGCUGCCAUCUUGCCAGCUCUUUGGAGCCGCCAUGAAACUAUGGUUCGUCCUCAUGUUCAGGCACUGAGAAGGCAGGUGGCUGGGACUGUUGGCCUGGGCAGGGAGUGCUCUGUCUGCUUCUCCACUUCCAGACCCAAAGCUCAACUCGGAGUCUCGUCCUGAGAUAAUGUCCAUGUGCUCCUUGCGCUCCUGCCCCCAUUCCUCCAGCCACCCCACACCAGUGGGUUUUCCCGUGAGGGUGCCCCCACCCCCCUUUGACUGCCUCCUGGGCAGUCUGGACAUCGGGGACCCCCUGGGGGAACCCUGGUGCCUUGUGGGGGCGGUGGGGGGGCAUGGUGUCACCCACACCAUCAACACCGUGGCUGUGAAAACAGGACAGGACGGGGGUGGGCUGGGUGAGCCAUUCCUGGGAAAAUAGAUGUCUUUGUUUGCGUUCUUAAAAUUAGACCACUGUGUUCUGCCCGUAGGUGUGAUGGAGCCGUGUUCUCUUCUCUCCCCCCUCCUCAUGGUCCUAGAGCUCUGCACACAGUGGCACACACGCGCCGGCCAUCACAUUCCCUGUGGGCACACGUGUGCACCCAGACACACUCAGACACGUGCAUAU
RNAcentral lists this long non-coding RNA (844 nucleotides) under Mustela putorius furo (domestic ferret). RNAcentral's name for it is "lncRNA (ENSMPUG00000027610.1)". The record is from RNAcentral. Lineage: Eukaryota; Metazoa; Chordata; Mammalia; Carnivora; Mustelidae.